RNAcentral lists this ribosomal RNA (301 nucleotides) under uncultured bacterium. RNAcentral's name for it is "partial 16S ribosomal RNA". It matches the Rfam family "Bacterial small subunit ribosomal RNA", at positions 509 to 807 of the family's 1533-position model. The record is from RNAcentral.
CAGUCGCCGCGGUAAUGCGUAGGGUGCGAGCGUUAAUCGGAAUUACUGGGCGUAAAGCGUGCGCAGGCGGUUGUGUAAGACAGGUGUGAAAUCCCCGGGCUUAACCUGGGAACUGCGCUUGUGACUGCACGGCUAGAGUAUGGCAGAGGGGGGUGGAAUUCCACGUGUAGCAGUGAAAUGCGUAGAGAUGUGGAGGAACACCGAUGGCGAAGGCAGCCCCCUGGGCCAAUACUGACGCUCAUGCACGAAAGCGUGGGGAGCAAACAGGAUUAGAUACCCGCGUAGUCCCUGUCUCUUAUAC